This 761-nucleotide ribosomal RNA is filed under the name Sphingobacterium sp. Its description in RNAcentral is "bacterial SSU rRNA". It matches the Rfam family "Bacterial small subunit ribosomal RNA", at positions 51 to 801 of the family's 1533-position model. The record is from RNAcentral. Lineage: Bacteria; Pseudomonadati; Bacteroidota; Sphingobacteriia; Sphingobacteriales; Sphingobacteriaceae.
AUACAUGCAGUCGGACGGGAUUCAGGGAGUAGCUUGCUACGAACUGAUGAGAGUGGCGCACGGGUGCGUAACGCGUGAGCAACCUACCCAUAUCAGGGGGAUAGCCUCUCGAAAGAGAGAUUAACACCGCAUAACAUCAUUUACCGGCAUCGGUUUUUGAUCAAAUAUUUAUAGGAUAUGGAUGGGCUCGCGUGACAUUAGCUAGUUGGAGAGGUAACGGCUCACCAAGGCUACGAUGUCUAGGGGCUCUGAGAGGAGAAUCCCCCACACUGGUACUGAGACACGGACCAGACUCCUACGGGAGGCAGCAGUAAGGAAUAUUGGUCAAUGGAGGCAACUCUGAACCAGCCAUGCCGCGUGCAGGAUGACUGCCCUAUGGGUUGUAAACUGCUUUUGUCAGGGAAUAAACCUUUCUACGUGUAGAAAGCUGAAUGUACCUGAAGAAUAAGGAUCGGCUAACUCCGUGCCAGCAGCCGCGGUAAUACGGAGGAUCCAAGCGUUAUCCGGAUUUAUUGGGUUUAAAGGGUGCGUAGGCGGUCCUAUAAGUCAGUGGUGAAAGACGGCAGCUUAACUGUCGCAGUGCCUUUGAUACUGUAGGACUUGAAUCUAUUUGAAGUGGGCGGAAUAAGACAAGUAGCGGUGAAAUGCAUAGAUAUGUCUUAGAACUCCGAUUGCGAAGGCAGCUCACUAAGUUAGUAUUGACGCUGAUGCACGAAAGCGUGGGGGAUCAAACAGGAUUAGAUACCCUGGUAGUCCACGCC